GCUUUAAGUAAUGGCCUGCUUUGUACUCAUCAAUGCCCAAUUUUGUCAGAUCUGGGAAGCUAAGACGGCAUAGGCCUGGUUAGUACUUAGAUGGGAGACUGCAGGGAAAGCAGCUGCUACAGUU
Molecule: ribosomal RNA, 124 nt
Filed under: Periophthalmus magnuspinnatus
Lineage: Eukaryota; Metazoa; Chordata; Actinopteri; Gobiiformes; Gobiidae
Source: RNAcentral